Molecule: ribosomal RNA, 394 nt
Filed under: uncultured microorganism
Description: bacterial SSU rRNA
Rfam family: Archaeal small subunit ribosomal RNA
Source: RNAcentral
GUGCAGCAGUCGCGAAACUUUACAAUGUGCGAAAGCACGAUAAGGGAACUCUGAGUGCCUCCUAAGGAGGCCGUUCAGGUGUCUAAAAGCACCUGGAGUAAGGGCUGGGUAAGACCGGUGCCAGCCGCCGCGGUAACACCGGCAGCCCAGGUGGUAGCCACUUUUAUUGGGUCUAAAGCGUCCGUAGCCGGUUGAGUAAGUUCCUUGGGAAAUUUGGCUGCUCAACAGUCAAGCUUCCAGGGAAUACUGCUCGACUUGGGACUGGGAGAGGUCAGAGGUACUCCAGGGGUAGGGGUGAAAUCCAUUAAUCCCUGGGGGACCACCGGUAGCGAAGGCGUCUGACCAGACCAGGUCCGACGGUGAGGGACGAAGGCUAGGGUCGCGAACCGGAUUA